ACAUGGACUUUGCGCUAGUUAUGGCUAUUAGUGAAUCAAUUAUUGAUAAAGGUCGAUGAUGUAUUGCUGGCCGUAAGUGCAUUCGACAUUGUUUGUGAUAGAUUAGCUAUGUACUCACCAUUAGCCUCGAUUUUCUUUUCAAUCACCGUCGUUAGUGGAUGGUUUGUUUAUAUUAGCCCUUUUUAUUACAACGAAAUAGGGUAACGAGGAAAUGAACAACAGCAAUUUGGUGGAUGCCAAAUAUUUAAAAUAUAUUUUGCGGGGCCUCAUUCGAGAGCACAACUCUACCGCGACCGCUACUAUUGACUCUACUGUUGGGAAGUUAGCAGGGUUCUCCCGGGUGACAACUUACGCCAGUCUUGUCGUCCCGUAAUCUCAAUCCAUCAAUCGCGACGUGCACUUGUAUUCUCUGCUUGUGCUCGCCCGCCGCGCGAAUCGCCAUCUUGAGAUCUGCCAAUGCCUCCUGACACAUUCUGUCACCGCGCGCCUCCGGCACUUCAAGAACGCCUAUUAA
Colias croceus (clouded yellow) is the source of this 514-nucleotide long non-coding RNA. RefSeq lists it as uncharacterized. Lineage: Eukaryota; Metazoa; Arthropoda; Insecta; Lepidoptera; Pieridae. The transcript is spliced from 2 exons. The record is from RefSeq and is a predicted model, not a curated record.